CCCUUAGACGUUCUGGGCCGCACGCGCGCUACACUGACGAAGGCAACGAGCUUUCCUUUACCGAAAGGUACGGGUAAUCUUUUGAAACUUCGUCGUGCUGGGGAUAGAUCCUUGCAAUUUUUGAUCUUAAACGAGGAAUGCCUAGUAAGCGCAAGUCAACAGCUUGCGUUGAUUACGUCCCUGCCCUUUGUACACACCGCCCGUCGCUACUACUGAUUGGAUGUUUAAGCGAGGUUCUUGAACUGCUAGCGACUUAGCUUCGGUGAGGUCGCAGUGUGGGAAGUGAACCUAGCUUUGGUGUCUAGAGGAAGUAAAAGUCGUAACAA
This 326-nucleotide ribosomal RNA is filed under the name uncultured eukaryote. RNAcentral describes it as "partial 18S ribosomal RNA". It matches the Rfam family "Eukaryotic small subunit ribosomal RNA", at positions 1470 to 1797 of the family's 1831-position model. The record is from RNAcentral.